RNAcentral lists this ribosomal RNA (17 nucleotides) under Funalia rigida. Its description in RNAcentral is "Coriolopsis rigida partial 18S ribosomal RNA". Lineage: Eukaryota; Fungi; Basidiomycota; Agaricomycetes; Polyporales; Polyporaceae. The record is from RNAcentral.
AAGGAUCAUUAUCGAGU